GGGCCUAUAGCUCAGUUGGUUAGAGCGCAUCACUGAUAAUGAUGAGGUCGCUGGUUCAACUCCAGCUAGGCCCA
RNAcentral lists this transfer RNA (74 nucleotides) under Pseudonocardia oroxyli. It matches the Rfam family "tRNA". From Rfam's summary of the family: Transfer RNA (tRNA) molecules are approximately 80 nucleotides in length. Their secondary structure includes four short double-helical elements and three loops (D, anti-codon, and T loops). The record is from Rfam by way of RNAcentral. RNAcentral also lists the same sequence under 1 other name. Lineage: Bacteria; Bacillati; Actinomycetota; Actinomycetes; Pseudonocardiales; Pseudonocardiaceae.